UUUGAUCCUGGCUCAGGAUGAGCGCUGGCGGUAUGCUUAACACAUGCAAGUCGAACGGGGCUCUUCGGAGUAAUCUGGCUUCAGGUUCGGGACAACAGUGGGAAACGGCUGCUAAUACCGAAUGUGCAGAAAUGUGAAAGAUUAAUUGCCUGAAGAUGAGCUCGCGUCUGAUUAGCUAGUUGGUGGGGUAAGAGCCUACCAAGGCGACGAUCAGUAACUGGUCUGAGAGGAUGACCAGUCACACUGGGACUGAGACACGGCCCAGACUCCUACGGGAGGCAGCAGUGGGGAAUUUUCCGCAAUGGGCGAAAGCCUGACGGAGCAAUACCGCGUGAGGGAGGAAGGCUCUAGGGUUGUAAACCUCUUUUCUCAGGGAAGAACAAAAUGACGGUACCUGAGGAAUCAGCAUCGGCUAACUCCGUGCCAGCAGCCGCGGUAAUACGGAGGAUGCAAGCGUUAUCCGGAAUUAUUGGGCGUAAAGCGUCCGCAGGUGGCAGUUCAAGUCUGCUGUUAAAGGUCGAGGCUCAACCCCGAACAGGCAGUGGAAACUGAACAGCUAGAGUGCGGUAGGGGUAGCGGGAAUUCCCAGUGUAGCGGUGAAAUGCGUAGAUAUUGGGAAGAACACCAGCGGCGAAAGCGCGCUACUGGGCCAUUACUGACACUCAUGGACGAAAGCUAGGGGAGCGAAAGGGGUUAGAUACCCCUGUAGUCCUAGCUGUAAACGAUGGAUACUAG
Molecule: ribosomal RNA, 735 nt
Filed under: uncultured cyanobacterium
Lineage: Bacteria; Bacillati; Cyanobacteriota
Description: bacterial SSU rRNA
Rfam family: Bacterial small subunit ribosomal RNA
Source: RNAcentral